Molecule: long non-coding RNA, 1106 nt
Filed under: Rattus norvegicus (Norway rat)
Lineage: Eukaryota; Metazoa; Chordata; Mammalia; Rodentia; Muridae
Description: long non-coding RNA NONRATT033733
Source: RNAcentral
AUGUCAUCAUGCUUCCCCAGUUCAGGAAUUCAGUUCCUAUGUCGGCAGUCACAGAGUUUCCUAGCAACAAGGGCUUUUCCAAGUGAGGAGAUAAGGGCCUGCAUUGUAUUAGGGUCGGGGAAUCGAUGUACUAUUCCAUUGAGCAUCUCUCCAAGGCUCUACCGUGUGCUGUCAGGAGAUGCCGAAGAAGGAGGCGGCUCCUUUGGGAGAUGCUAUCUGCUGAGAAACCUGCCCUGUCUUCGAGAUCCCCGGGAGCAUGGAGGGUAGCCCAGGCUAUCCUAACUCUUCUCCAGCGGCUAUAAUGGAUAUUUGUGGUGUUCAACGAGAACUACAGCCCCCAGGAUCCACACUUUCCCGUGGCCCCUCCCACACUGACUCUGGGAUUGGAUGCUUAGUUUUCUUUAGCCAAUGGGAUGUCAGCCAGCCUGAAACUCGCAGGCCCUUGGUAAGUGCUUCCAGGAUAGGCUUGUCUUAGAACCUGCCCAUCAAGCUUGAUGCCUAGAUAAUGUGGGGCACCGGAAGGAGGCGCUGAAGGAGUCUAUUUUGGACAUUUCUCCCGUUUCAACGGAACUCUCAAAUGGAGGGCAGCCACCAAAUGAUCCCAGCUAAGCCACUCAGCGGAGUCCAAUCUAUUCACAGUUUCACGAGAAAGAAGAACCCAUCUCUGUUUUGAGUCAAUACAUUCUGGGUGGCUUACUUGGCAGACACAAGUCUGGAACAGGAUGGCCACGGUGAAAAUCCAGGCUGAGCAUCCAGGCUGAGCCAGACGUGAGGGCCUUCUCUGUUACUCUCCACAGUCUUGCCUUGGCCCAGGGUGUUUCAGUGAGCACAAAGCUCUCUCUUUUGACAAGGAUGACGGGCCAGUGAACGUGGAGGAGCUUCCUGUGUGUUCAAUGCUGGGGUUACAGGCACAAGCCUUCCGAUGGGGACAGCAGGCUGGGGACCUUGAGCCCCUGAGCAUCCUGUCCCUGGAGACCGGUUGCAACCUGGAGUGAUGCAGGUGUGAACCAAUGGCCAGCUACAUACAACGUAAAUGAGAGGUUACCUCCCACGGUUCCUCUAUGAUGCUAAGACCUUGACCUGAGAGCUGAAUCUGGUGGCCUGCA